UUGACGUUACCCGCAAAAGAAGCACCGGCUAACUCCGUGCCAGCAGCCGNGGUAAUACGGAGGGUGCGAGCGUUAAUCGGAAUAACUGGGCGUAAAGGGCAUGUAGGCGGUAAGUUAAGUCAGAUGUGAAAUCCCCGAGCUUAACUUGGGAACGGCAUUUGAGACUGGCGGGCUAGAGUUUUGUAGAGGGGGGUAGAAUUCCAGGUGUAGCGGUGAAAUGCGUAGAGAUCUGGAGGAAUACCGGUGGCGAAGGCGGCCCCCUGGACAAGGACUGACGCUGAGGUGCGAAAGCGUGGGUAGCAAACAGGAUUAGAUACCCUGGUAGUCCACGCUGUAAACGAUGUCGAUUUGGAGGUUGUGGCCUAGUGUUAUGGCGUCCGAAGCUAACGCGAUAAAUCGACCGCCUGGGGAGUACGGCCGCAAGGUUAAAACUCAAAUGAAUUGACGGGGGCCCGCACAAGCGGUGGAGCAUGUGGUUUAAUUCGAUGCAACGCGAAGAACCUUACCUACUCUUGACAUCCACGGAAUUGAGCAGAGAUGCUUAAGUGCCUUCGGGAGCCGUGAGACAGGUGCUGCAUGGCUGUCGUCAGCUCGUGUUGUGAAAUGUUGGGUUAAGUCCCGCAACGAGCGCAACCCUUGUCCUUUGUUGCCAGCGCGUGAUGGCGGGAACUCAAAGGAGACUGCCGGUGAUAAACCGGAGGAAGGUGGGGAUGACGUCAAGUCAUCAUGGCCCUUACGAGUAGGGCUAC
Molecule: ribosomal RNA, 749 nt
Filed under: Candidatus Regiella insecticola
Lineage: Bacteria; Pseudomonadati; Pseudomonadota; Gammaproteobacteria; Enterobacterales; Enterobacteriaceae
Description: bacterial SSU rRNA
Rfam family: Bacterial small subunit ribosomal RNA
Source: RNAcentral